CGCCUCUUGAAACUAAUAAGAGGUCUAGCCUGCCCAGUGACAAAUUCAACGGCCGCGGUACCCUAACCGUGCAAAGGUAGCAUAAUCACUUGUUCUCUAAAUAAGGACUUGUAUCAACGGCAUCACGAGGGUUACACUGUCUCCUCCCCCCAAUCAGUGAAACUGAUCUCCCCAUGAAAAAGUGGGGAUAAGCCCAUAAGACGAGAAGACCCCAUGGAGCUUUAAACCCAAUAGCAACUUAGCAAAAUGCCUUCCCUCUAGCUACAAAGCUCUGCUAAAGGUUUUAGGUUGGGAGGACCACGGAGUAAAAAUUAACCUCCACAACGAAAAGAUUAAAAUCUUUACCCUAGACUCACUACUCUGAGGAUUAGUAAACUAACGUAAAAUGACCCGAUAACGAUCAACGAACCAAGUUACCCUGGGGAUAACAGCGCAAUCUACUUCAAGAGUUCAUAUCGACAAGUAGGCUUACGACCUCGAUGUUGGAUCAGGGUAUCCUAGUGGUGCAGCCGCUACUGAAGGUUCGUUUGUUCAACGAUUAAAACCCU
RNAcentral lists this ribosomal RNA (548 nucleotides) under Pseudophilautus abundus. Its description in RNAcentral is "partial 16S ribosomal RNA". It matches the Rfam family "Bacterial large subunit ribosomal RNA", at positions 1819 to 2597 of the family's 2925-position model. The record is from RNAcentral. Lineage: Eukaryota; Metazoa; Chordata; Amphibia; Anura; Rhacophoridae.